This 623-nucleotide long non-coding RNA is filed under the name Homo sapiens (human). RNAcentral describes it as "heart tissue-associated transcript 17". The record is from RNAcentral. Lineage: Eukaryota; Metazoa; Chordata; Mammalia; Primates; Hominidae.
AGAGAAAGAGAGAGUCUUUGGAGAGUUGUGAGGAGAUAAGUGACAUAAACUGGCAUGUUCUGAAAGAAUCACUCUGGAUGCUGUGUGGAGAAAACACUGAAAAGAAUUCUAGAGUGAAAGUUUCAUGAAUAUAAGAAGCAAGACAAGGAAGUGGCUUAUGCUUAAGGCCUUAAAGGCAACCACUGUGACAAUCCAGCCAUUCUCUGGAGAAUUCAGCAGAAAGCCAGUUGGAAGAAUUUGUUAUCUCGAUUAUGGAGGGCGACAAGUCCCACAGUCUGCCAUCUGCAGGAUGGAGAACCAGGGGGAGAAUAAUUGACUCCAUUCAAGUGUUCGCUCCUGUUUCAAUCAACUAUGGCUGAAGAGUGAGGAGACAUUUGGAAUAAAUAUGGCUUCUGGGGGCCCAUUCCUAUGGAUCAGCAGCUGGCUUCUGGAGGCCCAUUCCUGUGAAUCGUCGAUCUCAUAGAAGAUAAUAUUGUUAGAAGGCUUACCUCAUUGAUGCUGAACAUCCUAAAAAGCUUCUGCUGCUUUGAGUCACUGAAAAAGACCAAGAAACAUGAAUUUAAAAAAAAAUUUCAAAUGUUAUAAAAUAAAUAAUAUGAACUCAUUAUACCUACAAUGAAUAA